UCAGGGAUCAAAAGGGAAAAAAAAAGGGGACUCUUCUUGUUCUAGUGAGCGAACGAACGAAGGAGAAACAUAAAUUUAAAUUGAAAGCCUUAGCUCUCAAACUAAAGAGAGAGGUGGAAGAAGAAGAAGAACGAGAAGAAGAUUGACCAAAGGAAUUCGUACGGAGUAAUUGAGUGGCAAGCUUGGUAACUCAACACAAGUACUAGAAUUCAAGUGGUAUUGAAGAGGAUUCCAUUAACUAGCGUGUGAGUUAGUAGCAUCUGGUGAGCCCCGCAUUGCUUCGCGUGGCAAGAGAACUAUUGAUUUGUUAUGUUUAUUUAGUUUCUUUUAAAAACUCUUAGAAUUGCUCCAUUUGUCAUUCUUUGGAUUUGAGUCAAGAUUAGUCCUUCGAAUUA
This is a long non-coding RNA of Solanum stenotomum, 395 nucleotides long. RefSeq lists it as uncharacterized. The record is from RefSeq and is a predicted model, not a curated record. Lineage: Eukaryota; Viridiplantae; Streptophyta; Magnoliopsida; Solanales; Solanaceae. The transcript has 3 exons.